CCUACGGGAGGCAGCAGUGGGGAAUAUUGGACAAUGGGGGCAACCCUGAUCCAGCAAUGCCGCGUGAGUGAUGAAGGCCUUAGGGUUGUAAAGCUCUUUUACCGGGGACGAUGAUGACGGUACCCGGAGAAUAAGCCCCGGCUAACUUCGUGCCAGCAGCCGCGGUAAUACGAAGGGGGCGAGCGUUGUUCGGAGUUACUGGGCGUAAAGGGCGCGUAGGCGGCGCUCCAAGUUAGGCGUGAAAGCCCCGGGCUCAACCUGGGAAUUGCGCUUAAGACUGGAGUGCUCGAGUGCGGAAGAGGUGAGUGGAAUUCCCAGUGUAGAGGUGAAAUUCGUAGAUAUUGGGAAGAACACCAGUGGCGAAGGCGGCUCACUGGUCCGCAACUGACGCUGAGGCGCGAAAGCGUGGGGAGCAAACAGGAUUAGAUACCCUUGUAGUC
This 440-nucleotide ribosomal RNA is filed under the name uncultured bacterium. RNAcentral describes it as "bacterial SSU rRNA". It matches the Rfam family "Bacterial small subunit ribosomal RNA", at positions 338 to 795 of the family's 1533-position model. The record is from RNAcentral.